AACCCUGAGGCGUGAUGACGAUGCACUACGGUGCAGAAGUAGUUGAUGCCCUGCUUCCAGGAAAAUCCUCUAAGCUCCAGGUAACAUUAAAUCGUACCCCAAACCGACACAGGUGGUCAGGUAGAGAAUACCAAGGCGCUUGAGAGAACUCGGGUGAAGGAACUAGGCAAAAUGGUGCCGUAACUUCGGGAGAAGGCACGCUGGCAUGUAGGUGAAGUCCCUCGCGGAUGGAGCUGAAGCCAGUCGAAGAUACCAGCUGGCUGCAACUGUUUAAUAAAAACACAGCACUGUGCAAACACGAAAGUGGACGUAUACGGUGUGACGCCUGCCCGGUGCUGGAAGGUUAAUUGAUGGGGUCAGCCGCAAGGCGAAGCUCUUGAUCGAAGCCCCAGUAAACGGCGGCCGUAACUAUAACGGUCCUAAGGUAGCGAAAUUCCUUGUCGGGUAAGUUCCGACCUGCACGAAUGGCGUAAUGAUGGCCAGGCUGUCUCCACCCGAGACUCAGUGAAAUUGAACUCGCUGUGAAGAUGCAGUGUACCCGCGGCAAGACGGAAAGACCCCGUGAACCUUUACUAUAGCUUGACACUGAACAUUGAGCCUUGAUGUGUAGGAUAGGUGGGAGGCUUUGAAGCGUGGACGCCAGUCUGCGUGGAGCCAUCCUUGAAAUACCACCCUUUAAUGUUUGAUGUUCUAACUCGGCCCCAUAAUCUGGGGUGAGGACAGUGUCUGGUGGGUAGUUUGACUGGGGCGGUCUCCUCCCAAAGAGUAACGGAGGAGCACGAAGGUUAGCUAAUCACGGUCGGACAUCGUGAGGUUAGUGCAAAGGCAUAAGCUAGCUUGACUGCGAGAGUGACGGCUCGAGCAGGUACGAAAGUAGGUCUUAGUGAUCCGGUGGUUCUGAAUGGAAGGGCCAUCGCUCAACGGAUAAAAGGUACUCCGGGGAUAACAGGCUGAUACCGCCCAAGAGUUCAUAUCGACGGCGGUGUUUGGCACCUCGAUGUCGGCUCAUCACAUCCUGGGGCUGAAGUAGGUCCCAAGGGUAUGGCUGUUCGCCAUUUAAAGUGGUACGCGAGCUGGGUUUAGAACGUCGUGAGACAGUUCGGUCCCUAUCUGCCGUGGGCGUUGGAAGAUUGAGAGGGGUUGCUCCUAGUACGAGAGGACCGGAGUGAACGCACCACUGGUGUUCGGGUUGUCAUGCCAAUGGCAUUGCCCGGUAGCUAAGUGCGGAAAAGAUAAGCGCUGAAAGCAUCUAAGCGCGAAACUUGCCUCAAGAUGAGUCUUCCCUGGGCCUUCAAGGCCCCUGAAGGAACGUUUAAGACUAAGACGUUGAUAGGCUGGGUGUGUAAGUGCAGCGAUGCAUUGAGCUAACCAGUACUAAUGAUCCGUGAGGCUUAACCUU
This 1399-nucleotide ribosomal RNA is filed under the name Serratia ureilytica. RNAcentral's name for it is "partial 23S ribosomal RNA". It matches the Rfam family "Bacterial large subunit ribosomal RNA", at positions 1552 to 2925 of the family's 2925-position model. The record is from RNAcentral. Lineage: Bacteria; Pseudomonadati; Pseudomonadota; Gammaproteobacteria; Enterobacterales; Yersiniaceae.